This 445-nucleotide long non-coding RNA is filed under the name Homo sapiens (human). RNAcentral's name for it is "non-protein coding lnc-ZNF217-10:1". Lineage: Eukaryota; Metazoa; Chordata; Mammalia; Primates; Hominidae. The record is from RNAcentral.
GUUUACAUGCAUGAGUUAGCCUUUUAUGCAUUUUCUCCCGCAUCUAUAACACGAAGAUUGUUUACUCUGACAACCUCCCGGGUUGCUAAGAGAAUCGAAUAAGAAAUAAUAUGAUAAUAGUGCUUUGAAAAGGACAGUAACAAAACCUAACGUUUCGAUCAAGCUUUCAAAGGACCUUUUCUUUAUUUUAUUUGAUAUAUAGAAACAAAAUGUUUUUUGUUUGAGCCUCAUUUAAUAUGGACAUAUUCUAAAAGGUGAUGGCACACAGACUGUUUCUAACACAAUCCUGUAGCCUGAAAGCCCCAGAGACACUGACGAAUUUUGCCAACAAGAAGACUAUCUUAUAAAGUUAAAAAUCCCAAACUUAAGAAAAUCAUUUCCCCCUUGACAAGUCUUAAUCAAAAUCUGCCCAUGCUGGUCAUUUAUUCUUUCAGCGCAUGUGAUU